RNAcentral lists this ribosomal RNA (2173 nucleotides) under Salmonella enterica subsp. enterica serovar Javiana. RNAcentral describes it as "partial 23S ribosomal RNA". It matches the Rfam family "Bacterial large subunit ribosomal RNA", at positions 1 to 2188 of the family's 2925-position model. Lineage: Bacteria; Pseudomonadati; Pseudomonadota; Gammaproteobacteria; Enterobacterales; Enterobacteriaceae. The record is from RNAcentral.
GGGUUGUGAGGUUAAGCGACUAAGCGUACACGGUGGAUGCCCUGGCAGUCAGAGGCGAUGAAGGACGUGCUAAUCUGCGAUAAGCGCCGGUAAGGUGAUAUGAACCGUUAUAACCGGCGAUUUCCGAAUGGGGAAACCCAGUGUGACUCGUCACACUAUCAUUAACUGAAUCCAUAGGUUAAUGAGGCGAACCGGGGGAACUGAAACAUCUAAGUACCCCGAGGAAAAGAAAUCAACCGAGAUUCCCCCAGUAGCGGCGAGCGAACGGGGAGGAGCCCAGAGCCUGAAUCAGCAUGUGUGUUAGUGGAAGCGUCUGGAAAGGCGCGCGAUACAGGGUGACAGCCCCGUACACAAAAGCGCAUGUGCUGUGAGCUCGAUGAGUAGGGCGGGACACGUGGUAUCCUGUCUGAAUAUGGGGGGACCAUCCUCCAAGGCUAAAUACUCCUGACUGACCGAUAGUGAACCAGUACCGUGAGGGAAAGGCGAAAAGAACCCCGGCGAGGGGAGUGAAAAAGAACCUGAAACCGUGUACGUACAAGCAGUGGGAGCACAGGUUUACCUGUGUGACUGCGUACCUUUUGUAUAAUGGGUCAGCGACUUAUAUUCUGUAGCAAGGUUAACCGAAUAGGGGAGCCGGAGGGAAACCGAGUCUUAAUUGGGCGUUAAGUUGCAGGGUAUAGACCCGAAACCCGGUGAUCUAGCCAUGGGCAGGUUGAAGGUUGGGUAACACUAACUGGAGGACCGAACCGACUAAUGUUGAAAAAUUAGCGGAUGACCUGUGGCUGGGGGUGAAAGGCCAAUCAAACCGGGAGAUAGCUGGUUCUCCCCGAAAGCUAUUUAGGUAGCGCCUCGUGAAUUCAUCUCCGGGGGUAGAGCACUGUUUCGGCUAGGGGGCCAUCCCGGCUUACCAACCCGAUGCAAACUGCGAAUACCGGAGAAUGUUAUCACGGGAGACACACGGCGGGUGCUAACGUCCGUCGUGAAGAGGGAAACAACCCAGACCGCCAGCUAAGGUCCCAAAGUCAUGGUUAAGUGGGAAACGAUGUGGGAAGGCCCAGACAGCCAGGAUGUUGGCUUAGAAGCAGCCAUCAUUUAAAGAAAGCGUAAUAGCUCACUGGUCGAGUCGGCCUGCGCGGAAGAUGUAACGGGGCUAAACCAUGCACCGAAGCUGCGGCAGCGACACUCAGGUGUUGUUGGGUAGGGGAGCGUUCUGUAAGCCUGUGAAGGUGGCCUGUGAGGGUUGCUGGAGGUAUCAGAAGUGCGAAUGCUGACAUAAGUAACGAUAAAGCGGGUGAAAAGCCCGCUCGCCGGAAGACCAAGGGUUCCUGUCCAACGUUAAUCGGGGCAGGGUGAGUCGACCCCUAAGGCGAGGCCGAAAGGCGUAGUCGAUGGGAAACGGGUUAAUAUUCCCGUACUUGGUGUUACUGCGAAGGGGGGACGGAGAAGGCUAUGUUGGCCGGGCGACGGUUGUCCCGGUUUAAGCGUGUAGGCUGGUUUUCCAGGCAAAUCCGGAAAAUCAAGGCUGAGGCGUGACGACGAGGCACUACGGUGCUGAAGCAACAAAUGCCCUGCUUCCAGGAAAAGCCUCUAAGCAUCAGGUAACAUCAAAUCGUACCCCAAACCGACACAGGUGGUCAGGUAGAGAAUACCAAGGCGCUUGAGAGAACUCGGGUGAAGGAACUAGGCAAAAUGGUGCCGUAACUUCGGGAGAAGGCACGCUGACACGUAGGUGAAGUGAUUUACUCAUGGAGCUGAAGUCAGUCGAAGAUACCAGCUGGCUGCAACUGUUUAUUAAAAACACAGCACUGUGCAAACACGAAAGUGGACGUAUACGGUGUGACGCCUGCCCGGUGCCGGAAGGUUAAUUGAUGGGGUCAGCGCAAGCGAAGCUCCUGAUCGAAGCCCCGGUAAACGGCGGCCGUAACUAUAACGGUCCUAAGGUAGCGAAAUUCCUUGUCGGGUAAGUUCCGACCUGCACGAAUGGCGUAAUGAUGGCCAGGCUGUCUCCACCCGAGACUCAGUGAAAUUGAACUCGCUGUGAAGAUGCAGUGUACCCGCGGCAAGACGGAAAGACCCCGUGAACCUUUACUAUAGCUUGACACUGAACAUUGAGCCUUGAUGUGUAGGAUAGGUGGGAGGCUUUGAAGUGUGGACGCCAGUCUGCAUGGAGCCG